CCAUCUAAGAAGUGGUAGCCAUUUUUUUUCAGCUGGUCCUGCUGCAAAAGGAAAACCAGUUACUUUCAUACUCUGUUUCAAUCAGAACAUGUUUGAUGUUAAAAAUAGUUUAUUUAUUUGUAUUAAAUAAAUCAAAUGCUUCAAUUGAAUUUUCUUUAUUUGUAUUAAAAAUGUUUUAAACAAAGAUUCUGGUGGAUGUUGUUGGAUUCUGGCCUUGGAGGAGCUCGUUGCUUCGGCGGAUCCGAUAGUGGUUUGGUGCUAUUUGCGGUGGAUGUUUUGGUUUUUGGCGUGUUUGUUGUUUGUUGCAAGCUCAAGUGGUGAUUGUUGGAACUUGGAUGUGAUGUGUGUUCGCUUCCGUUUCGGGGAAGGAUGAACUUAAGGGGGGCAAGUAGGGGCUAAGCCCCCCACUUGUUGAUACUAUAUCACUUUUUUUUGGUUACCAUGAGAUACGAAGUUUUUUACUGUUGUUAGCGACGACUAAUCUUUGUCGGAGAACGUGUAUGACACAUAAAGUGAGUUCUCUCAUUCCAAUCUAAUUUUUUCCAUACGUAUGAAUCAGAAAUCGAACUCUUGAUCAUAUACUUAAAGGGAUCAAGACCUUUAUCAUUUGGACGUUGGUCAUACUAUCACUCUUUAUAGGUAUACUUGGAUAUGUCCUUGGUUUCCGGUUCCUUGAGUUUAUUUUUUUGGGGUGGUUGCAUCCGCUUGUUGGCAUCUGCUCUGCCUCUACUUAGUGUUGUGAUUGGCGGUGUGAGUGGUGGUGUGGUGGUGCGAUGCAUCAUAAUUUUCAAGCAAUUGCUUUGUUUCAAGAUUCUUUCUGACGGCCUUCUUCGCGCAUGCAAUAUUUGGUGGUUACAGUUUGU
This 863-nucleotide long non-coding RNA is filed under the name Trifolium pratense (red clover). Its description in RNAcentral is "long non-coding RNA (TPRA_LNC001517)". The record is from RNAcentral. Lineage: Eukaryota; Viridiplantae; Streptophyta; Magnoliopsida; Fabales; Fabaceae.